GACGGAGGAUGCAAGUGUUAUCCGGAAUCACUGGGCGUAAAGCGUCUGUAGGUGGUUUAGUAAGUCUAUUGUUAAAUCUUGAGGCUCAACUUCAAAUCAGCGAUGGAAACUGCUAGACUAGAGUGUGGUAGAGGUAAGAGGAAUUUCUAGUGGAGCGGUGAAAUGCGUAGAUAUUGGAAAGAACACCGAUGGCGAAGGCAUCUUACUGGGCCAUAACUGACACUCAGAGACGAAAGCUAGGGUAGCAAAUGGGAUUAGAUACCCCAGUAGUCCUAGCAGUAAACGAUGGAUACUAGAUGUUGCCCGUUCACCGCAGUGUCAAAGCUAACGCGUUAAGUGUUCCGCCUGGGGAGUACGCACGCAAGUGUG
RNAcentral lists this ribosomal RNA (369 nucleotides) under uncultured phototrophic eukaryote. RNAcentral describes it as "SSU rRNA". It matches the Rfam family "Bacterial small subunit ribosomal RNA", at positions 524 to 896 of the family's 1533-position model. The record is from RNAcentral.